This is a long non-coding RNA of Patiria miniata (bat star), 1417 nucleotides long. RefSeq lists it as uncharacterized. NCBI's taxonomy places the organism in Eukaryota, Metazoa, Echinodermata, Asteroidea, Valvatida, Asterinidae. The transcript is spliced from 4 exons. The record is from RefSeq and is a predicted model, not a curated record.
GAACCUCACGUUGCUGUAACGUUUUAUAAAGGUGUUUUGACACUGAAUUUAAGUUGUAAUUAUGCUGUGGGUUAUGAUCCAUGCUGUUGUGGUAUUGACAAAAACAUUGUGAUUACGAUUUACUAAAUGUGAAGUGAACAUAAUGUUUUAAUUAAUGAUGUUUUAUUUGAUAAUAAUUAAUAUUUGGGUGCCGCCUUGCAUUAAUAAUGUAACUCAUGAAAUUUUGAACAUCAUCAUGUUUGUUUUGUCGUAGUAGGAAUAUAAUGUUUUCAUAUAUUUUUCUAAUGGUCUAAGAUGGAUGAGAUCGUGGUCAAAGCGCGACUGUUUCCCGCUCAUAUUCAUUGUUGUAUACUCAAUGUAUAUAUUUAUUGCACACACCAACGUAACUUGAAAUAUGAUUCCUGUUCUCAAAGAAAAUAUUACCAUGGCGCAUGCGCGUCAGCAGAAAUUCCACGUCCAGACCGCGUGAUAGCUGAUUUGAAUCGCUCUGCUCAGUCGAGUCAGCGAUCUAGCAGCAGCAGCCCACUAGUAUAACGGUCGCCGACUCGCCGUCCAGUUGAUGUGAAUUAGCCAUGGUCACCAAGCAAGUUAUUUUCACUACAGCAUUUCUUAGAAGGUAGGCAGUACACAGGUUUGCUAUACGUGAGUGCACUGGCUGCUGGAUGUGGCAUGUUUUAACUUUUAACUUCAGCAGUCUUCGAGGGAAGAAGUUUCUAAUUAUUUUGAAGACCAACCCAUACAUCUCUUCAAGGUUGUUGCUGGGCCUGCAUGACAACUCGUCGAGUAGCGGAGGCCAAGGCGAGGGGAGGACAUAGCUUCAUUCUGGAAGUUUGCCCCACUAACAAGCCCGGAGGGACAAGAUUCAGGAAUCCUGCCAACCCUGCCAACGCUGUUCAGCCCGCUGACCCUGUCGACCCUGCAAACCCUGCAGAUGAUGAAUAACGACACUGCAUCUUUUGCGUGAAAAUAAGUGCAUCGUUCGUGCUCUUCAAAAUUUGUUUUCUUGUAGGCCUAUUAGGGAUUCCCUAUUUAUCUCCGUAGUUAUUUGCCCUUAUAUGAAGCCUAGUCGGUCAGUCAAAAAGCAAUAACAAUCUGAACUAAAGUUGCACUCGUAAAGAUGGUAAACUAAAUGAUGCAAUAAGUUUAUCAUGAUUUGAUAUCACUGAAUACAAUUUAAAAAAAAACAUUUUGGCCAAUUAUAGACGACUUACAGUAAUGUCUGGACGAAGCAUCUCAUUAACAAUUUAGUUGUAGGGGCAGCAAUAUUAUAAUGAGAGGCAAAAUUCUCUCAUCUGUCUUUCUUCCUCUGAUUUCCGUAAGCCGUAAUUUUCAAGUCGAGAAAAAAAUAUGAUAUUCAAUUUAAAUAACAUUUCAGAAUAACACAGAGCUAGUUGCUCGAAUGCAAUAUUCUUUGUUU